RNAcentral lists this long non-coding RNA (227 nucleotides) under Elaeis guineensis (African oil palm). Its description in RNAcentral is "long non-coding RNA (EGUI_LNC029732)". The record is from RNAcentral. Lineage: Eukaryota; Viridiplantae; Streptophyta; Magnoliopsida; Arecales; Arecaceae.
GGUGACCUCCUUGCCGAUGACUGUGGAGGUGGACAAAAUGGCAAUAAUGCUCAAUUCAUCCCACAUGCAAAUUAAAAAAACAUAAGGCCAAGGAAGUAGGAGUAGUUGAUGACCAUGGCCGCCAGUUUAUUGGAUCAUAUGUAGUACAUAACAAUGAUAAUUAGACAACAAUAUUUAGAAAGCAGAGGGAUCAAAUAUUAAAAUGAAUCGUUGUCGUACGAGCGAAU